CGCAGGAUUUGCCCUUUCAGUGCUUGCCCCAGGCCUCUCCUGGCCGCCAUCCUCGAGGGCUGUGGCGACUUCCGAUCCGCCUAGGCUCGAGAGGGGCCUUGUGCUGUUGCACUGAAGCCGGGUAGGCUCCUGAGGUUCGCCGUGGGCCGGGGAUCUCCGUCCCGUCUUCCGCGGCCUCCCCCACCUGCAGACAGCGUUUGCUCCCAGUCGGGUCGGAGGUGUCAGUCGCCCACGCCUCCAUCUCCUCCAGCUCUGGGCCCUCUGCACCCUCCUCCCAUCCCGGGCCCGCCUUCUGGCGGGGUGGGGUGGGGUGUGCCCCUGACUGGCACUCCAGGUGUCCUUCACUUGCGGAACACGGCGGCUGUGGGCCGAGCCGGGAACCGUGUACCAGUCUGGCCUCCCUUGAGUGUGUGGAGCCCCCUUUACAGCAGAACAGAGUAGCGACUGUGGAGUUGGCCCCUGUAGACUAAUGAUGUUCUAACUUUCUAAAGAAGUGGAAACUCCAUUUCCUGAGCCCAGUAGAAAGCCCACAGGAGUCAGGGCCUGGUUUUAUCUGGGGGAGAUGUAGCCACUCAGGCCCAGUCUGGCCCCCACGCCCCCUGAAGGGUGAAAAACGCUGGACUUCCUGGACUCUGGAUUCCCUCCAUCUCUGGCUGGCGGACAGCACGAGUUCUUGGAAGCUUGUGUGAGGCUCUAGUAAGUCUCCCUGGCAUCUCUCCAAUCCUUUCCCUCGUUUAUUCUUUCAUUCUGCAAACAUUCCCCAAACUUGUGCUCUAUGCUAAAUUCCCAGAGGGACAAAGAACUGGAAGGCCAGACACUGAGACAAUGAAAAACUUGCUUUCUUGAUGCAGUCACUGAGAGGGGACUCCCCAAAAUGACAAGAGCGGCAAGGCCUCCAGAUUGUGGUCUAGGUGGAGACCAAGUGCUUUCUUGGAGCUACCUGCCUGACACUUUGCAGGAGCGUUUCCGUAUCAGGUGCCCACAGAGACAGAGCGGUGAGUCACCGCUGCUUCUGGAGCAUGGCUGUGGGCUGUCUGGAGGGAAAUCCACUUCCCUCCCACAGUGACAUGGUCAAUAACUGGUGUUGCCGAGAACAUGAACAGCUUCACAGGCCCCAUAUAAAAGGCUGAAUCCCAGCCCCUGGAUCACGAGGAGAGACGUAUUCCAACCUCUUUUGUGCAUGGCUGCAGAUGACACCUCAUAAGAGCUCAAUAAAUAAAUCCACCAAAGAAGCAGCCGUUAGGCAGAAAUCCACCUGAGCUGCUGUGCAUGUGGCAAAACAUCUCAAAGACCCCAAAAGCGAGGCAUCAUCAUGUUUACAUCACAGCUCUGAAACGAAAAAGAAACGGACUAUUGAGUCUGAUUUCUCCAUUAUCCUGUUGCGUUCGGAUUUUUAAAAGGGAUCAAAAUUCCAUUUUUCCUAAAGAAAGGGAGCCACAGAUUCACAGAUUUCAUUAUCAACUUGAAACAAAUUGAGCAAAAAAUUAGGGGGAAUGUUUUUUCAUAUCCAGCAAGGCCUUCUUUUAAAACCAGCAAACAUCUGCGCACUUAAGUACCUUCUGUUGAGGUCUAAGGAAGUCACUUUCUGGAAUACAUGUGAGUUCAUUGACUCUGCCUCACUUUCAAGAACUGAAUAAGAAAUGAAAUCAUCCUGUAGGUUUUAGAAAAGUAUGAAAAAUGCUACAUCUGCCGAGAAAGUUUGGAUGGGCUAUUCAGAUCUUACCAGAAACAGAUGCAGAACACUGUGUUGGGUUGGAACUGGGCCAGUAUUUGGGGCAACAUUUGGAUUUUCUCUUCAAAUAAAAUAAAUAAAUAAUUUAAAUAUCA
This 1827-nucleotide long non-coding RNA is filed under the name Heterocephalus glaber (naked mole-rat). RNAcentral's name for it is "lncRNA (ENSHGLG00100035174.1)". Lineage: Eukaryota; Metazoa; Chordata; Mammalia; Rodentia; Bathyergidae. The record is from RNAcentral.